This 32-nucleotide non-coding RNA is filed under the name Geobacter sulfurreducens KN400. Lineage: Bacteria; Pseudomonadati; Thermodesulfobacteriota; Desulfuromonadia; Geobacterales; Geobacteraceae. The record is from RNAcentral.
UGGGCAUCAGACAAGUCAUGCCGCCCACGCGG